CAGUGAAUGUGUGUGUCAGUAAGUGUGUGUGUGUCUGUCAGUGAGUAUGUGUGUGUCUGUCAGUGUGUCUGUAUGUGUGUGUGUCUGUCAGUGAGUAUGUGUGUGUCUGUCAGUGUGUGUGUGUGUGUGUCUGUCAGUGAAUAUGUGUGUGUGUCAGCGGGAGGAUCAGAUUUGGCACAGGGUGGUAGAGGGGGGUGCUGUGGUUUAGUAGAGG
Molecule: non-coding RNA, 214 nt
Organism: Pelobates cultripes (western spadefoot toad)
Lineage: Eukaryota; Metazoa; Chordata; Amphibia; Anura; Pelobatidae
Source: the annotation of a GenBank genome assembly